RNAcentral lists this small RNA (76 nucleotides) under Yersinia kristensenii. RNAcentral's name for it is "sroB RNA". It matches the Rfam family "sroB RNA". Lineage: Bacteria; Pseudomonadati; Pseudomonadota; Gammaproteobacteria; Enterobacterales; Yersiniaceae. The record is from RNAcentral.
GGAAUAUGAGAGCUGAAUAACUAAAAUAAUGAAAGUUCCUCUUUGACUGGCCGAUAGCAAUAUUGGCCAUUUUUUU